UGGAUUAGUGGCGAACGGGUGAGUAACACGUGGGCAAUCUGCCCUUCACUCUGGGACAAGCCCUGGAAACGGGGUCUAAUACCGGAUAACACUCUGUCCCGCAUGGGACGGGGUUAAAAGCUCCGGCGGUGAAGGAUGAGCCCGCGGCCUAUCAGCUUGUUGGUGGGGUGAUGGCCUACCAAGGCGACGACGGGUAGCCGGCCUGAGAGGGCGACCGGCCACACUGGGACUGAGACACGGCCCAGACUCCUACGGGAGGCAGCAGUGGGGAAUAUUGCACAAUGGGCGAAAGCCUGAUGCAGCGACGCCGCGUGAGGGAUGACGGCCUUCGGGUUGUAAACCUCUUUCAGCAGGGAAGAAGCGAGAGUGACGGUACCUGCAGAAGAAGCGCCGGCUAACUACGUGCCAGCAGCCGCGGUAAUACGUAGGGCGCAAGCGUUGUCCGGAAUUAUUGGGCGUAAAGAGCUCGUAGGCGGCUUGUUGCGUCGGUUGUGAAAGCCCGGGGCUUAACCCCGGGUCUGCAGUCGAUACGGGCAGGCUAGAGUGUGGUAGGGGAGAUCGGAAUUCCUGGUGUAGCGGUGAAAUGCGCAGAUAUCAGGAGGAACACCGGUGGCGAAGGCGGAUCUCUGGGCCAUUACUGACGCUGAGGAGCGAAAGCGUGGGGAGCGAACAGGAUUAGAUACCC
This 685-nucleotide ribosomal RNA is filed under the name Streptomyces yanii. RNAcentral describes it as "bacterial SSU rRNA". It matches the Rfam family "Bacterial small subunit ribosomal RNA", at positions 88 to 787 of the family's 1533-position model. Lineage: Bacteria; Bacillati; Actinomycetota; Actinomycetes; Kitasatosporales; Streptomycetaceae. The record is from RNAcentral.